UACGGAGGGUGCAUACGUUGCUCGGAAUCAUUGGGCGUAAAGCGCACGUAGGCGGCCCAGCCAGUCGGGUGUGAAAGCCCUCGGCUUAACCGAGGAAGUGCAUUCGAAACUACUGGGCUUGAGUACUGAAGAGGAUCGCGGAAUUCCCGGUGUAGAGGUGAAAUUCGUAGAUAUCGGGAGGAACACCAGUGGCGAAGGCGGCGAUCUGGGCAGAUACUGACGCUGAUGUGCGAAAGCGUGGGGAGCAAACAGG
RNAcentral lists this ribosomal RNA (253 nucleotides) under uncultured bacterium. Its description in RNAcentral is "partial 16S ribosomal RNA". It matches the Rfam family "Bacterial small subunit ribosomal RNA", at positions 524 to 776 of the family's 1533-position model. The record is from RNAcentral.